UACGUAGGGUGCAAGCGUUGUCCGGAAUUAUUGGGCGUAAAGAGCUCGUAGGCGGUUUGUCGCGUCUGCUGUGAAAUCCCGAGGCUCAACCUCGGGCCUGCAGUGGGUACGGGCAGACUAGAGUGCGGUAGGGGAGAUUGGAAUUCCUGGUGUAGCGGUGAAAUGCGCGGAUAUCAGGAGGAACACCAACAGCGAAAGGCAGAUCUCUGGGACGUUACUGACGCUGAGACGCGAAAGCGUGGGGGAGCAAACAGG
This 255-nucleotide ribosomal RNA is filed under the name uncultured bacterium. RNAcentral describes it as "partial 16S ribosomal RNA". It matches the Rfam family "Bacterial small subunit ribosomal RNA", at positions 524 to 776 of the family's 1533-position model. The record is from RNAcentral.